RNAcentral lists this long non-coding RNA (241 nucleotides) under Homo sapiens (human). Its description in RNAcentral is "non-protein coding lnc-GRM7-11:1". The record is from RNAcentral. Lineage: Eukaryota; Metazoa; Chordata; Mammalia; Primates; Hominidae.
GAUAUCUGAGAUAAACUGUGAUUUGGUGGUGCAGAAAUGAAAAUGAUUUUGUCUUGCCCUUGGUGCAUUAUGGCCACCGUGGACCUAAAUACUGGAAUUAAGCCACUGGAAACCCUGAAGAGUUACUGCCUGUCUGAUCCCUCUGAGAAGCAACUAUAUAAGUUGUCUGUAUUUUCUGAAAUCUAUUAUUCAGUAGAAAAAAUUAAAAGGUUGAGAGUUGGUGACCCAGUUUAUUAGAUGG